GUGCGCAGGCGGUUGUGCAAGACCGAUGUGAAAUCCCCGAGCUUAACUUGGGAAUUGCAUUGGUGACUGCACGGCUAGAGUGUGUCAGAGGGGGGUAGAAUUCCACGUGUAGCAGUGAAAUGCGUAGAGAUGUGGAGGAAUACCGAUGGCGAAGGCAGCCCCCUGGGAUAACACUGACGCUCAUGCACGAAAGCGUGGGGAGCAAACAGGAUUAGAUACCCUGGUAGUCCACGCCCUAAACGAUGUCAACUAGUUGUUGGGGAUUCAUUUCCUUAGUAACGUAGCUAACGCGUGAAGUUGACCGCCUGGGGAGUACGGUCGCAAGAUUAAAACUCAAAGGAAUUGACGGGGACCCGCACAAGCGGUGGAUGAUGUGGAUUAAUUCGAUGCAACGCGAAAAACCUUACCUACCCUUGACAUGCCACUAACGAAGCAGAGAUGCAUUAGGUGCUCGAAAGAGAAAGUGGACACAGGUGCUGCAUGGCUGUCGUCGGCUCGUGUCGUGAGAUGUUGGGUUAAGUCCCGCAACGAGCGCAACCCUUGUCUCUAGUUGCUACGAAAGGGCACUCUAGAGAGACUGCCGGUGACAAACCGGAGGAAGGUGGGGAUGACGUCAAGUCCUCAUGGCCCUUAUGGGUAGGGCUUCACACGUCAUACAAUGGUGCAUACAGAGGGUUGCCAAGCCGCGAGGUGGAGCUAAUCCCAGAAAAUGCAUCGCAGUCCGGAUCGUAGUCUGCAACUCGACUACGUGAAGCUGGAAUC
This 762-nucleotide ribosomal RNA is filed under the name uncultured Ralstonia sp. RNAcentral's name for it is "bacterial SSU rRNA". It matches the Rfam family "Bacterial small subunit ribosomal RNA", at positions 567 to 1333 of the family's 1533-position model. Lineage: Bacteria; Pseudomonadati; Pseudomonadota; Betaproteobacteria; Burkholderiales; Burkholderiaceae. The record is from RNAcentral.